UGCAAGUCGAACGGCAGCACGGGGGCAACCCUGGUGGCGAGUGGCGAACGGGUGAGUAAUACAUCGGAACGUGUCCUGUAGUGGGGGAUAGCCCGGCGAAAGCCGGAUUAAUACCGCAUACGCUCUACGGAGGAAAGGGGGGGAUCUUAGGACCUCCCGCUACAGGGGCGGCCGAUGGCAGAUUAGCUAGUUGGUGGGGUAAAGGCCUACCAAGGCGACGAUCUGUAGCUGGUCUGAGAGGACGACCAGCCACACUGGGACUGAGACACGGCCCAGACUCCUACGGGAGGCAGCAGUGGGGAAUUUUGGACAAUGGGCGAAAGCCUGAUCCAGCAAUGCCGCGUGUGUGAAGAAGGCCUUCGGGUUGUAAAGCACUUUUGUCCGGAAAGAAAACCUUUGGGUUAAUACCCUGGGGGGAUGACGGUACCGGAAGAAUAAGCACCGGCUAACUACGUGCCAGCAGCCGCGGUAAUACGUAGGGUGCAAGCGUUAAUCGGAAUUACUGGGCGUAAAGCGUGCGCAGGCGGUCCGCUAAGACAGAUGUGAAAUCCCCGGGCUUAACCUGGGAACUGCAUUUGUGACUGGCGGGCUAGAGUAUGGCAGAGGGGGGUAGAAUUCCACGUGU
Molecule: ribosomal RNA, 625 nt
Filed under: Burkholderia sp. Arv-28-1.6b
Lineage: Bacteria; Pseudomonadati; Pseudomonadota; Betaproteobacteria; Burkholderiales; Burkholderiaceae
Description: bacterial SSU rRNA
Rfam family: Bacterial small subunit ribosomal RNA
Source: RNAcentral